ACGGAAGGCAGCAGCUAAGAAUAUUCCGCAAUGGACGAAAGUCUGACGGAGCGACGCCGCGUGGAUGAUGAAGGUCGGAAGAUUGUAAAAUCCUUUUAUAACUGAGGAAUAAGCAGUGUGAGAGAAACGCAUUGCGGUGACUGUAGGUUAUGAAUAAGCAACGGCUAAUUACGUGCCAGCAGCCGCGGUAACACGUAAGUUGCGAGCGUUGUUCGGAAUUAUUGGGCGUAAAGGGCAUGUAGGCGGUUUUGCAAGCUUGAUGUGAAAGGCAGGAGCUUAACUCCUGGACUGCGUUGAGAACUGCAUGACUAGAGUCACUGAGGGGCAAUCAGAAUUCCUGGUGUAGGGGUGAAAUCUGUAGAUAUCUGGAAGAACACCAAUGGCGAAGGCAGGCUGCUGGCAGAUGAUUGACGCUGAGGUACGAAAGUGCGGGGAGCAAACAGGAUUAGAUACCCUGGUA
Molecule: ribosomal RNA, 460 nt
Filed under: uncultured Treponema sp.
Lineage: Bacteria; Pseudomonadati; Spirochaetota; Spirochaetia; Treponematales; Treponemataceae
Description: partial 16S ribosomal RNA
Rfam family: Bacterial small subunit ribosomal RNA
Source: RNAcentral